Molecule: transfer RNA, 74 nt
Filed under: Trebouxia lynnae
Lineage: Eukaryota; Viridiplantae; Chlorophyta; Trebouxiophyceae; Trebouxiales; Trebouxiaceae
Description: Trebouxia sp. TR9 tRNA-Ile
Rfam family: tRNA
About the family: Transfer RNA (tRNA) molecules are approximately 80 nucleotides in length. Their secondary structure includes four short double-helical elements and three loops (D, anti-codon, and T loops).
Source: RNAcentral
GGGUUUAUAGUUCAAUUGGUUAGAACACGGCGCUCAUAACGUCGCAAUUGUAGGUUCAAGUCCUACUAAGCCUA